UACGUAGGGAGCAAGCGUUGUUCGGAAUCAUUGGGCGUAAAGCGCGUGUAGGCGGCUUGGCAAGUCCGUUGUGAAAGCCCACAGCUUAACUGUGGAACUGCGACGGAAACUGCUUUGCUAGAGUGCGGGAGAGGAGAGUGGAAUUCCCAGUGUAGAGGUGAAAUUCGUAGAUACUGGGAGGAACACCGGUGGCGAAGGCGGCUCUCUGGACCGCUACUGACGCUGAGACGCGAAAGCUAGGGGAGCAAACGGGAUUAGAUACCCCCGUA
Molecule: ribosomal RNA, 269 nt
Filed under: uncultured prokaryote
Description: partial 16S ribosomal RNA
Rfam family: Bacterial small subunit ribosomal RNA
Source: RNAcentral